GAUGAACGCUAGCUACAGGCUUAACACAUGCAAGUCGAGGGACCGGCGCCCGGGUGAGUAACACGUAUCCAACCUGCCCUUUACCCGGGGAUAGCCUUUCGAAAGAAAGAUUAAUACCCGAUAUAAAGGAUGGGGAUGCGUUCCAUUAGGUUGUUGGUAAGAUAACGGCUCACCAAGCCUUCGAUGGAUAGGGGUUCUGAGAGGAAGGACCAGCAACAUGGAGAUGAGACAGAGUCCAAACGCCUACGGGAGGCAGCAGGGAGGAAUAGUGAACAAUGGGCGCAAGCCUGAACCUGCCAAGUAGCGUGAAGGAUGAAGGGUUAUGGGUCGUAAACUUAGUUUAUAUAGGAAUAUGUAUUAUAUGAAUAAGGAGCAGCUGACUCCGUGCCAGGCGCCGCGGUAAUGC
This 406-nucleotide ribosomal RNA is filed under the name uncultured bacterium. RNAcentral describes it as "partial 16S ribosomal RNA". It matches the Rfam family "Bacterial small subunit ribosomal RNA", at positions 28 to 526 of the family's 1533-position model. The record is from RNAcentral.